This is a long non-coding RNA of Gouania willdenowi (blunt-snouted clingfish), 1641 nucleotides long. Lineage: Eukaryota; Metazoa; Chordata; Actinopteri; Blenniiformes; Gobiesocidae. The record is from Ensembl.
CCUAAAUCUAAACCCCUGUUUACAGAAGAUGGGAAGCCCAUUUGCUUUAAAUGUAAAGGGGUGGGACACAUUUCAAGGGAGUGUAUGCAGCGCAGGACAGGGGGCCAGCCUUCUGCUACAAGUGCAUCUGUUCAGGAAAACUAGGUUCCUCGGUUGCCAAGAGCCGGGCAAUUCGAGGUGAGGCUAAAGGCUCUGAGACUCUUAGCCGUGAGAGGUUUAUGGAGAGGGCUGUGGGUAAAUGUAGGGAAGUUGCAGUCAAGAUUGGUGAGGUACCAGUUAGAUGCCUGUUGGAUACAGGAAGCCAGGUUAGCACCAUUUCUGAGUCUUUCUUCAAACAGCAGCUGUUAGGUCGUGAGGAGGAUGUAUUUCCCGCAGCCAAGUGGUUAAAACUAACCGCAGCAAAUUCUUUGCCAAUCCCCUACAUUGGGUAUGUUGAACUUGACAUGGAAGCUAUGGGGCUGAACAUACCAGAGUGCGGGUUCCUAAUUGUCAAAGAUCAUAUCCAAGAGGAGGCGGGAGGUGAGGGCAAAGAGUUAAACCAGUCACGGACACAGAGUCAUCAGGAAGCAGCGCAGGGUCUCAUUGGGAUGAACAUAAUCAAGAGGUGCAAGCAGUUGGUUACAGCGGAGUUUGACACAACUCUUAAGUGGGAGCUGGAUCCAGAUUGGGGGGAAGUGUUUCAACGAGUACAGACAUGUGAGGUGUUAGAAAAGACAACCACAGCGAGGCUUGCAAGCAGACAUGUAGUCCGAGUACCUGCUAGUUCUGUUGCCACAGUUUAUGCAAAGGGCCUUCAACCCACGUCUGAUGAUAGCACCUCUCUGUUGGUGGAGCCAGCUAAGACCCCAUUGCCAGGUGGUAUUGCGGUUCUUCCGACAUUAGUAAAGGCCACUAAACCUUUGUUCCCUAUACAGGUAGUUAACUUUUCUCAGGAGGAUGUGUGGUUGCGUCCCCGGACCAGGUUAGGAAUUUUAUCUCAGGUGGAGUGUGUUGACAACGAUCAGACCGAGGUAUGUUUCCAGCGUAUAUCAGCUGACCAGGAAGAAGUUACGGUAGGCCAGCAAGGAAGGCAGACAUCAGACCUUGACUUUCAGGAAGUGCUAAACAAACUGCACCUAGGAGGCACCGAAGAGGAGCAAGCUAAGUUAGCUGCGCUUUUAGCUCAGUAUGCUAAUGUGUUUGCUCUCCAGGAUGAGGACUUAGGUUACACAGACCGAGUCAAGCAUGAGAUCCAUCUGGUAGAUGAUGCACCUGUGGCCCAACCCUACCGUCGCAUACCACCUACACAGUAUAACGAGGUUAGAGAGCACAUAAAAAAGCUUCUUAAGAAGGGUGUUAUCCAGGAAAGCACGAGUGCUUACGCUUCUCCAGUGGUCCUAGUUAGGAAGGCUGAUGGCAGUCUGCGACUGUGCGUGGACUACAGAAAGCUAAACGCUAAGACUCGACGUGAUGCUUUCCCAUUACCACGGAUUGAUGAGUGUUUUGAUGCUCUGCAUGGUGCACGGUUCUUUUCAACUAUUGAUCUCGCUAGUGGGUAUCACCAGGUGGCUGUAAAUGAAGAUGACAGGCCUAAGACCGCUUUCACAACACCUUUUGGGCUGUACGAGUAUUCUCGGUUGCCUUUUGGGGUAUGCAACGGGC